This 497-nucleotide ribosomal RNA is filed under the name uncultured bacterium. Its description in RNAcentral is "partial 16S ribosomal RNA". It matches the Rfam family "Bacterial small subunit ribosomal RNA", at positions 28 to 507 of the family's 1533-position model. The record is from RNAcentral.
GAUGAACGCUGGCGGCGUGCCUAAUACAUGCAAGUCGAGCGAACAGAUGAGGAGCUUGCUCCUCUGACGUUAGCGGCGGACGGGUGAGUAACACGUGGAUAACCUACCUAUAAGACUGGGAUAACUUCGGGAAACCGGAGCUAAUACCGGAUAAUAUAUUGAACCGCAUGGUUCAAUAGUGAAAGACGGUUUUGCUGUCACUUAUAGAUGGAUCCGCGCCGCAUUAGCUAGUUGGUAAGGUAACGGCUUACCAAGGCGACGAUGCGUAGCCGACCUGAGAGGGUGAUCGGCCCCACUGGAACUGAGACACGGUCCAGACUCCUACGGGAGGCAGCAGUAGGGACUCUUCCGCAAUGGGCGAAAGCCUGACGGAGCAACGCCGCGUGAGUGAUGAAGGUCUUCGGAUCGUAAAACUCUGUUAUUAGGGAAGAACAAAUGUGUAAGUAACUAUGCACGUCUUGACGGUACCUAAUCAGAAAGCCACGGCUAACUACGUG